Mastomys coucha (southern multimammate mouse) is the source of this 1594-nucleotide long non-coding RNA. RefSeq lists it as uncharacterized. The transcript is spliced from 3 exons. Lineage: Eukaryota; Metazoa; Chordata; Mammalia; Rodentia; Muridae. The record is from RefSeq and is a predicted model, not a curated record.
GAUCCCUUUUUGCACUAUAGCUUUCAUUCCUGAUAGCAGGGCAGACCACGCCAGAAGAAAAGCCAAGGUGGUCUGAUUUCCUGCUCAUUCGGUCAGAGGCCCUAUGAUAAGAAUAAUGGUGUAAACAGUCUGUGCAAUAUGUUUAGAUAAAUAGUACCUUGCACAAUGACUGAUGGAGCAAACAAGGGUUUGAUGAGUGAGAAAGAAGUGUGGCCAGUGUAUGUAUGGCCUACAUGCCUUCUAUGGUGCUCAUAAUAACUUUUGCCUUUGCAAAGGAAGGAGAUGUCAAUAGAGGCGGAUUCUGGAGGGUGGAGAAGGCACAGUGACUGGCCUAGGAGUGAACCGACUCAUAGGAAUGAGGCACGGAGGCACAGUAGAGAAGCCUGGUCCUGAGGCUCCUCACUCCCAUGGAGUUGCAGAACCUCCACUUAAUGGUUAUGCUGGGAACUGAAGGAUUAGAGGGACCUGUGGGGAGGAGAAUGGUUCAGCAAGAUGCAACCUACACCUGCAGUGGAGUGCUGCACAGCCUUCAAAAGAAAGGGCAUUCUGGCAAACACAACGUGGACAGACUCUGAGGACAUUACAUUGGGUGAAACAAACCAGUCAAAAGGACAUCAAAAGAACUCAUAAACCCUGAAAACUUCAUGGUAUCUAGGAAUAAUGGCUGACAUACUCUGGGUUGGAGAGUCCCCCGGCAAGCUCUGGUGAGCUACACUGUGGCCCUCUGCAGGUUCCUUGGCAAAAGUUCCUUGGCUGCCUGGAACUAAAUGUGUUCUCUACAGUUACCACUGGACGGACUUCUUUCCUGGGCCUCGAGCCUACCUCAUGUAACAGUGGGAGAGAUACACACUGAUUUCCUGUGGAGGCCAGAACUCUCUGGGGUCAGGAAAGAGCAAUCAAUAGUGGGGGAGGAACCUACUUGGCCAGGUGGUUCAUGAGCAGCUGCAACAUCUGCCGAUUCUUCUCCGGGAGCCGAUGAACAAGGCUAUGGAUCUCAGAGACUCGAGUCUCUUGGUUUUCCAGCUCUGUGAAGAAAAGGGGUAAGGUUGUAUUGGAGUCACAGCUAAGUUAUUGGGCAAGACCAAGGGGGAACUAAAGCCUUGGCAGUAACCCAUGGAAGAGGUUCUUAAGGAUUUACCACCCUGUCUUUCGUGUGUGCUUAGGACCAGUGUGACAGGCUCUAGAAGGCCUUUCAGUGUGCUUUCUGUAUCAGAGUUCAACCAACUAAUGGCUGUGAUGAAAUGGAGCUGGUCAACCCCACACCCAGGGAAUGAACAAACACGGGAGCAGCUGGCUCCCUCGAGGGCCAACUUCAUUUCAAGGAAAGAAGGAACUUUAUGCACUUGUGAAGUGGUAAACAGAUCUUAUGUGAACAUCACCAAGGUCUCAAGUUUCAAAAUGAUAUAUCCAGAUCACACACACACACACACACCACCGCUAUGCUUAAGUUAUGUGUAGCAUACCAAUGGAGUAUGAAAAAUGCAGUGGCAGAUAAAACAUUUAAAUCUUUCUGUCACUCUAUAGCUUGCUACCUUUUGAUUCAAAUUGGGGAAGUGGCUCUGUUUCUCUUGGAAAUAAUUUGCUAAUAUUCACC